AGGAUGAACGCUAGCGGCAGGCCUAACACAUGCAAGUCGAGGGGUAACGAUUUCGAGCAAUCGAAAGGCGACGACCGGCGCACGGGUGAGUAACGCGUAUGCAACCUGCCUCUAACUGGAGAAUAGGUCCCGGAAACGGGAAUUAAUACUCCAUAACAUUGCGAGACCGCAUGGUUUUGCAAUUAAAGCUCCGGCGGUUAGAGAUGGGCAUGCGUGACAUUGGUUUGUUGGUGAGGUAACGGCUCACCAAGACUAUGAUGUCUAGGGGGUCUGAGAGGAUGGUCCCCCACACUGGUACUGAGACACGGACCAGACUCCUACGGGAGGCAGCAGUGAGGAAUAUUGGGCAGUGGACGCAAGUCUGACCCAGCCAUGCCGCGUGCAGGAUGACGGCCCUAUGGGUUGUAAACUGCUUUUAUUUGGGAAGAACUCCCCGGACGUGUCCGGGGCUGACGGUACCAAAAGAAUAAGCAUCGGCUAACUCCGUGCCAGCAGCCGCGGUAAUACGGAGGAUGCAAGCGUUAUCCGGAUUUAUUGGGUUUAAAGGGUGCGUAGGCGGGAAAUUAAGUCAGUGG
This 575-nucleotide ribosomal RNA is filed under the name uncultured bacterium. RNAcentral's name for it is "bacterial SSU rRNA". It matches the Rfam family "Bacterial small subunit ribosomal RNA", at positions 26 to 594 of the family's 1533-position model. The record is from RNAcentral.